GCCACCGUGGCUUAGCGGUAUACCCCCAUUGGUAAUGAGGGGGUCGCGAGUUCGAUUCUCGCCGGUGGCCCC
RNAcentral lists this transfer RNA (72 nucleotides) under Methanobacteriota archaeon. RNAcentral describes it as "Euryarchaeota archaeon (seawater metagenome) tRNA-Thr". It matches the Rfam family "tRNA". Rfam says of the family: Transfer RNA (tRNA) molecules are approximately 80 nucleotides in length. Their secondary structure includes four short double-helical elements and three loops (D, anti-codon, and T loops). Lineage: Archaea; Methanobacteriati; Methanobacteriota. The record is from RNAcentral.